UCAAUUUACCUAAACCAAUCAAUAAGUAAUACUCGGAUACAUGACGUGGCAAAAUCUCAUCCUUUCAUAAGGCUUUGGCGGCUGUUGUUUAAUGAAAUCUCAUCCGUUCAUCGCCCAACAAAGGCUUUGGCGUCUGCUCUCUUCAUCCUUUCAUCUUUUCAUCGCCUCGACUGAGAACAAAAUUCAGAACAAAAUUAAUUCAGAUUAGGUCUUCUCUUGGCUGAUCUCAGGAAAAAAUUAAUUCAGAUUAGGUCAUCACCUUUCAGCACAUACUUCUUCUCUUCUUCUUGUUUUCAUCACAUAUUCUCAAUUCUCAAUUCUUUUUUCCUCUCCUCCAUUACGAUUUACGAGAAUCUCUCUGCUUUAGCUUCUCACUCCACUCGAUACAUCGAAGACGUUUCACCACCACCUUGGCGAGCCUCUUUUGAUGUUGGUUCUCAGUCAAUCGCCCACCACCUGUUCGAUUAAAUGCCUCAAUGGGUUUAUUGUCUUGAAGCUGUUUUAAAACAGAGCAUAUGGAAGAUAUUUUAGGAUUGUUGUUCAGAUAUAUUAAGCAUUUACAUCAGUCUGGUGUUUCCCUUUGGAUUUUUGAUGAGGUAUAUGUAUUCUUAACUCUCAUU
Molecule: long non-coding RNA, 620 nt
Organism: Arabidopsis lyrata subsp. lyrata
Lineage: Eukaryota; Viridiplantae; Streptophyta; Magnoliopsida; Brassicales; Brassicaceae
Exons: 3
Source: RefSeq, a predicted model, not a curated record